This 253-nucleotide ribosomal RNA is filed under the name uncultured bacterium. Its description in RNAcentral is "partial 16S ribosomal RNA". It matches the Rfam family "Bacterial small subunit ribosomal RNA", at positions 524 to 776 of the family's 1533-position model. The record is from RNAcentral.
UACGUAGGGGGCUAGCGUUGUCCGGAAUCAUUGGGCGUAAAGCGCGCGUAGGCGGCCAGAUAAGUCCGGUGUGAAAGUCAGAGGCUCAACCUUUGAAUGCCGCUGGAAACUGUCGGGCUGGAGUCCGGAAGAGGCGAGUGGAAUUCCUGGUGUAGCGGUGAAAUGCGCAGAUAUCAGGAGGAACACCAAUGGCGAAGGCAGCUCGCUGGGACGGUACUGACGCUGAGACGCGAAAGCGUGGGGAGCAAACAGG